GAUGAACGCUGGCGGCGUGCCUAAUACAUGCAAGUCGAGCGAACGGACGAGAAGCUUGCUUCUCUGAUGUUAGCGGCGGACGGGUGAGUAACACGUGGAUAACCUACCUAUAAGACUGGGAUAACUUCGGGAAACCGGAGCUAAUACCGGAUAAUAUUUUGAACCGCAUGGUUCAAAAGUGAAAGACGGUCUUGCUGUCACUUAUAGAUGGAUCCGCGCUGCAUUAGCUAGUUGGUAAGGUAACGGCUUACCAAGGCAACGAUGCAUAGCCGACCUGAGAGGGUGAUCGGCCACACUGGAACUGAGACACGGUCCAGACUCCUACGGGAGGCAGCAGUAGGGAAUCUUCCGCAAUGGGCGAAAGCCUGACGGAGCAACGCCGCGUGAGUGAUGAAGGUCUUCGGAUCGUAAAACUCUGUUAUUAGGGAAGAACAUAUGUGUAAGUAACUGUGCACAUCUUGACGGUACCUAAUCAGAAAGCCACGGCUAACUACGUGCCAGCAGCCGCGGUAAUACGUAGGUGGCAAGCGUUAUCCGGAAUUAUUGGGCGUAAAGCGCGCGUAGGCGGUUUUUUAAGUCUGAUGUGAAAGCCCACGGCUCAACCGUGGAGGGUCAUUGGAAACUGGAAAACUUGAGUGCAGAAGAGGAAAGUGGAAUUCCAUGUGUAGCGGUGAAAUGCGCAGAGAUAUGGAGGAACACCAGUGGCGAAGGCGACUUUCUGGUCUGUAACUGACGCUGAUGUGCGAAAGCGUGGGGAUCAAACAGGAUUAGAUACCCUGGUAGUCCACGCCGUAAUCGAUGAGUGCUAAGUGUUAGGGGGUUUCCGCCCCUUAGUGCUGCAGCUAACGCAUUAAGCACUCCGCCUGGGGAGUACGACCGCAAGGUUGAAACUCAAAGGAAUUGACGGGGACCCGCACAAGCGGUGGAGCAUGUGGUUUAAUUCGAAGCAACGCGAAGAACCUUACCAAAUCUUGACAUCCUUUGACAACUCUAGAGAUAGAGCCUUCCCCUUCGGGGGACAAAGUGACAGGUGGUGCAUGGUUGUCGUCAGCUCGUGUCGCGAGAUGUUGGGUUAAGUCCCGCAACGAGCGCAACCCUUAAGCUUAGUUGCCAUCAUUAAGUUGGGCACUCUAAGUUGACUGCCGGUGACAAACCGGAGGAAGGUGGGGAUGACGUCAAAUCAUCAUGCCCCUUAUGAUUUGGGCUACACACGUGCUACAAUGGACAAUACAAAGGGCAGCGAAACCGCGAGGUCAAGCAAAUCCCAUAAAGUUGUUCUCAGUUCGGAUUGUAGUCUGCAACUCGACUACAUGAAGCUGGAAUCGCUAGUAAUCGUAGAUCAGCAUGCUACGGUGAAUACGUUCCCGGGUCU
Molecule: ribosomal RNA, 1372 nt
Filed under: uncultured bacterium
Lineage: Bacteria
Description: bacterial SSU rRNA
Rfam family: Bacterial small subunit ribosomal RNA
Source: RNAcentral